AUAUAGUCGGGUAAGAACAAAAAGAUACUUUGGUAAUGUGGAUGUAGUUUUCAUGGGCUAACAUUUGGUCGAUGCUCAGCUUUCUAAACGCAAGGCUUGAGUUGUACACACUUUUGAAGUGUCACAAUGAGUAGCAAAGUUUAUCACUUAACCUAUUUCGCGCACCCGUCAUCUCCACCGUCAAUUUUUUUUUUUUUUUCUUCGAGUCAAAAUCGACCGGUGUAUCACCCGGGUGCGCUGUAUAAUUUUCAUACUUAUCACCAAAACAGAGGCAAUCCCUAAACACAGGAUCGUCCUACUAAUCUGGGGCUUGUCCUUUCCGAAGGAUAUAGAAAUUACGUGUUGGUGUUGAAAAUGAUAGAGCGGUGAGAAAGUGGCCAAGUGUGAGUGGUGGGUCAAUAAAAAUCAAAGGUUGGGAAAGAUCUUGGAAAUCAAAGAACAAGAGGAGACUAGACUAGUCAAGUUGGUAAUGGUAACUGGGUACCUUCUUGCCUAUAUAAACCCCACUCUCAUUCCUAUUUUGCAUGUCUAAUUCAACUCACUAAGCAAGCAUUAAACACUCACUCACUCUCCCACCGCCAUUUUGCUUGAAGCAGAAACUUCAUUUAAGUUCUUUCUGAAUCUGUGAUUCUUGUUUUGUGUGUGGUGAGCAGAGCUCAUAACUAUAGGCUCAAGUUUCAUUGAGGAACAACUGAACAAGACCCACUUCUUUCUUUAACAGUAGGACUUGUUUAGCUCUGCAUAUUACACUUCUGAAAACGGUUGUGUUCUGUGUUGGUGUCUGUCUGUAAAAGAUGGGUGAUAACAAGAACCAGAUGCUUCAACACAACCAAGUUUUUGAUGUCUCAGUCAAUAUGCCGCCACAGGGAGGCUCCAAGUGCUUUGAUGAUGAUGGCCGUCUCAAAAGAACUGGUAACUUUUGCUUCGCCGACACUGUGAAUAUGCUGAAGUCUUAGCCUUCUCUAUGGUAGAUUUGGUAGUAAUUGUUUGUGUGGUUUAUGAAACAGGAACGGUUUGGACUGCAAGUGCUCACAUUAUUACUGCUGUAAUUGGAUCUGGGGUUCUAUCCUUGGCUUGGGCCAUAGCUCAGCUUGGAUGGGUGGCUGGCCCUGCUGUCAUGUUCUUGUUCUCUUUGGUGACUUACUACACUUCAACUCUGCUCUCUGCUUGCUACCGCUCCGGUGAUUCUGACACUGGAAAAAGAAACUACACUUACAUGGAUGCUGUUCAAUCCAACCUAGGUACAUUUUAAACAGCAGUUUUAUCUAAAUGUUUGAAAAAGGUCGUGUCUUUUCCUCAAAACUUGUUAAGUUCAGAGAUUUACUGUGGAAAUCUCAUUUCCCAGGUGGAGUAAAGGUCAAGAUUUGUGGAUAUGUUCAGUACUUGAACCUUUUUGGAGUUGCCAUUGGAUACACUAUAGCAUCAGCCAUUAGCAUGAUGUAAGUGUCUAUUCUAAAUCAUGAACUUAGUGAUGUAAUGUUUUACUCAAAAUAAUUUAUUUAGGCUAAUGGGGUUCUGGUGUGGUAAACAAACAGGGCAAUCAAGAGGUCUAACUGCUUCCACAAAAGUGGUGGUAAAGAUCCAUGCCAUAUCAACAGCAACCCCUACAUGAUUGCAUUUGGCAUAGUAGAAAUCAUAUUCUCUCAGAUUCCAGACUUCGAUCAGUUGUGGUGGCUUUCCAUUGUUGCUGCAGUCAUGUCCUUCACUUACUCGACUAUUGGACUUGGCCUUGGAAUUGCUAAAGUUGCAGGUACAACAUCCAGCUCUAUGCUACACUUAAGAUGUGGAGGAGCUUCACUUUAAGCUGAAAUCAGUUGCUUGUGUUACAUAAAUUGUUCUUGUAAAGCUGACUCAAACUUAAUAUUUGUGGUAUUAUCAGAAACUGGAACCAUCAUGGGAAGUAUGACUGGAAUAAGCAUUGGAACUGUCAGUGAAACUGAAAAGAUGUGGAGGAGCUUCCAAGCUCUUGGUGACAUAGCUUUUGCCUACUCUUACUCUCUUAUUUUGAUUGAAAUUCAGGUAUAUAUCUCAUUUGCCUAGAGCAUAAUUAUUAUAUUAUAUUUCGUAGUGAAUUAUGCAUGUAACUAACUCAAUAUUGCAAAACAGGACACAGUUAGAUCUCCACCAUCUGAAGCCAAGACAAUGAAGAAGGCCACUACAAUUAGUGUAGCAGUGACAACCCUUUUCUACAUGCUAUGUGGCUGCAUGGGCUAUGCUGCUUUUGGAGACUUAGCCCCUGGAAACUUGCUCACUGGUUUUGGCUUCUAUAACCCAUAUUGGCUCUUAGACAUUGCCAAUGUUGCUAUAGUAGUCCACCUUGUUGGUGCAUACCAAGUCUACUGCCAACCCUUAUUUGCUUUUGUUGAGAAAGCAGCAGCGAAAAAGUACCCGGAUAGUGAAUUUAUCUCGAGAGAAAUCAAAAUCCCAGUUCCCGGUCUUGGCCAUUGCAACCUUAACCUCUUUAGAUUGGUGUGGAGGACUGCCUUUGUGAUUGUGACCACUGUAAUCUCUAUGCUCCUCCCGUUCUUUAACGAUGUGGUUGGACUUCUAGGGGCUGUGGGAUUCUGGCCAUUAACUGUCUACUUCCCAGUUGAGAUGUACAUUGCGCAGAAGAGGAUACCAAAGUGGAGCACAAGAUGGCUUUGCCUUCAAAUCCUAAGUGUCGCUUGCCUCAUUAUAACCAUAGCUGCUGCUGCUGGCUCAAUUGCUGGGGUGAUUUCUGACCUCAAGACCUAUAAGCCCUUCAAGACCAGCUACUGAUUCAUCAAGAGUUAACCAGUUCCUUCCUUAAUCAAGGAAAGAGAUUUGGUCAUUAGGGUCAAGUCCUCCUCAUGUUCAUAUAACUAAAGCCUCAAUUGGUGAUGUUGUUGUUAGAUGUUGUUCUGUAUGUGUUGUUUUUUACUAUCUUCAAGUGAAGGAAAGGCUUUGGCCAUGUAUGUAUUUCUCCAAAAUUAAUGAAGAGUAUUUCCCAAGAUACUUUGCCUAUUUUCUUCACACAAUUAACAAUUCUAUAUCAGAAUGAAUUCCAUUUCAUCAAUUAGAUCAUCCCCGCCACUUCAAUUUCCAUAAGUAGAAAAUUGCAUCUUCAUAGGAACCGCUGAGAGUGCAUAGUCCACUCACAAAGAAAGAAUCAAACAGGGUGAACAUGAGCCGUCCAAUGAUUCAAACUUCAUGUGCUGCAGAUUUGAGAAAUGAUCAGUGAGAUAUCAUAGUUAACUUAUCAGAUGGUGUCUCUUCUAAGCUAGAGACCCUUUGGUUCCUAGGAGGCUAGGACCUAAAUGAUACUGUUGCGAAAGACGUCUAUGCUUCUGAUACAGAAGACAGAAGAGAUGGGCCUGUGUUACUUACAACUAAUAACAGCACUAAAGACCAAAGAAUCAUUGACUUCCACUAGAAAUGAAAAAGGGAGGUCAAGAAAUUAUUUACCUAAUAACCAAACCUAACCAGGUAACUUGGUUACCUGCCUAUUGCCAGCUAGGUAGGUUUAUCCAACCUCAUCACUAUAAUUUGUAGGUAGAGAAAAGAUUCAACUGACCACAAUUGGGGGAAAUGAUCCUGAUUUCUGAAGACUGACAUCCAUCUGCAUCAUCCUGAUAAAGAAUUGAAUUCAGAGUCCCACACGAACAGAAUCGCCAUGCUGACAUGUUUUCCAAAUGCAAUGAAUCAGUUAAAGUUAUGCACAGAUUGCUAAUUUGCUAUAUCAAAAUAGACAAGUGUACACGUUUUAGUGAACAGCAAAAGGGGGAUUAGCUUAACUAAAAGUUCGAUCUGGAUUCUGGAUUCAUAUAGAUUCUCUUAGACAAUUCAAAAGGGUAUGAAAAAGGUGAAAGUUAUAUAAUGGCUGUGCUCAUGAAAUUCUUGACUCAUUGAAGUUAGAAAUAUGAAAGGGGUGAGGAAACAUCCUAGCUUCUUGGUGAUGAUGAUGAUGAUGAUGAUGCAUGAAGAGUUGGAAAUAUAAAUUAUUAUAGGCCGUUUUUCUCAAUCCGACCAUAUAAUAUAUCAUUGAUAUUUUAGAAGGCAAUAUUUACACAUGUUCAUACUGUGUGAUCAAAGUUAGUGGGAAGUCGGCAGCUCCGGGCCGCCAGCUGAGGACUGAGGAGUGAGGACAGCAAGUGGUAGGUCCUCUGCUUCACCAUGGGUGCUGCUAUACAGUACUUAUCGAUUUUCACGUAUUCUUUGGUAAAACUAAGCUGCUACUGAACUUUAGUGAGUCGCCUUUGCUGGUGGGAGAAGAUUUAAGAAACAAACUAAAGUGUCCUUAUGUUUUCUAAAAGGGGGAACUAAAAUAUAAUUUCUAAGAUUCAAAAGGAGCAUCUGUAAUCAACUUAUUGUAAACCUACUUACCGAUAUUUCUCCCAGUUUAGCCACCCGGUUAGGAAGAUGGAGCAUCUGUAUAUGGGAUGCUGCUUCUUCAUCAACAGGAUCUCGUAUGGACUUUCAUCGAUGUACAGCCACUUCUGAUGACAAGUCAAGUGAACCAAUUAUUUAUUUUCUUCAAGCAUGCAUGUAAUGUAUCGUUCAGGAAAUCUCUCACCUCUGUAAAUACAUUUUAACUGAUCCUCGGCUUGAUUCCAGAUACUCUGGGUUAAUUUUACACACCCAAUCCAGGUGAUUCAUAUCACAGAUGAGCUGGAGUUGCAAGAUACACAAUUUGGCACCUGCUUCCAAUCCUCAUCAUUAUGCAAACAUCAUUUCUCACACAUCACUUUGGUUACAGUUACCACAGACUUAUUUCAAAAUGUAAUGACACCAUCAAGGUCAAAAAGAACCAAACAUAGAUGCUAUGUUCAACCCAAGAGUUUCCAUACAAAAUAGAUACAAAUUAGGUCAAUAAAACGCCACUACACAGCUCCCAUAGAGGGAGCUUUAGCUUGAGCCAGAAGGCACCAGGACCCAACUUCCCAUAUGGGUUCCAGCCAUCCAAUUUGGUACCACAACGGCACAACAUUACGCUUUAUUUGAGUAACAGAAAAUAUCAAUAACAAUCCCAAAGUGGGGAUUACAUAUAUAGAUUGAUUUCUUAAUGGGGCGUGUAUGUAUCCACUCUAAUUAAUAACCUCUGUGAACACUACUAAUGUACAAGAACGUAACCAGAAGUAGUAUUUGAUACUUACGAUUUUACAGAUCAAAAUGAAGAUUUGUAAAUUUGUGAUAAAAAACAGAAGUGAAAUUCAUCUUGUCAUGCUUUACAGCUAAGGACCAGCAAUACGCACAGCAAAUGCAUCGUCCUCCCCAAUGGGGGGAAAACCUCUCGUGAAUGUUAAAUGGAAGCUCCAAAGAAUAAAUCAUAAGAAUACUAAGAUAGUUCCUCCUUGUUGAACUUGGUCCAAGCUUCCUGUUUCAGUAAGAACCCAUUUUCAUUAAACAUGAAAACAAAUCAGAAAAUGCUAUCUGAACAAUAACCAUCACUAUAGAAAGAAACAAAACAUGCCAAUUUGGUUUGAAUAUCAAUGAAUGAUGGCAAACAGUGAACUAUGGAAAAUUAUUAAUAUAAUAUCAUAGAUAGUAGAUUAUGACCAUCAUAAAAAUAUUCAAUCGUCAAACUCUUUCAGUACAUCAUAGGUAUUAGAUAGUAGAUUACGGGAGGCAGAAACCAUUUCAUGAAGAUGUGAAAAAGCAAAAGCUAUAGUUCUGACUGAACCGUGAAGUUACCUUCAGGACAUCAAAAACCUUCUCCGCAGUAUAUUUUUGUUGAAGACUAGCCCCUUUCUGUUGAACCUUAUCAGGAUGGACAAACAAUGUUGCCUUUCUAUAAACCUUUUUAACUGAGCCAGAAGUAAUCAAAUCUGUAAGUGAAACUGGCUCCCAUCCACAUUCAGGCCAAAGUACCUGUACACCAAUGCAAAAACGAAAAAAUUUAGUUGGUGUAGAAAUGCUUUUUAUGUUAGGAAGGGCAAGAUAAGUGCAAGCUUUAAUUAAUUCAGGAACUAAGGUAAAAAAUCAUUAUACCAGACAUUAAAUAUAAAGAGGGGGUUUUUCCCCAGUUCAAUGUAACAUUUAUUUCCCAGUCUCAAGUCUCUGAACCACAAAUAACAAGACCACAGAGUUCUUCACAGUUUGCUUGAUCUCUCAAGCAAAUGCAAGAAUUUACAGAGGGUCUCACAUGGAUGCCCACCACAAGACAUUGCCUAACAAUGCACAUUCACAAUAUCACAAUUACCCAAUGAACGCAAUCAGCCGAAUUAUGCUCUCUCAACAAUAUAUUUAAGGGGACUACUAUGUGAAAUAACAUACAUAUUGCAAUGAAGACAAUAGUGCACGCAUAUUCCCUUCUUUCCCUGCAGCCCAGCUCUUGAUUUUAGUAUCCAUACUCUCAGCAAUUCUCUGCAAAGUGAAAUGCAAAACACAAUUAGUUACUACAUAUAGAAAGCUUGAUGACACAAAGAAACAGUGGUAUUAGAAAUCUGUAUACAAGCACAACAUAUAGUCACUCCUGUACCCUAAUGCAGAAGAUACAAUUAAUUUUUUUGAGAAAGAAUCCAACCCGUUUAUAAAGAAUUCUUAUACAUAUAACAGGAUAAAUGCAUCCACUGCCAAGGCAAUGUCUGAAAUACUACUUACACGCCUCUCUUCCUGCUCCUGCUGAGUACGAAAAUCGCGUUGGUUCAUAUCUGCCACUGCUUGCAACUGAAUAAUAACAAUUAGAACUGUCAAAGUAUGCCAGCAAUACAUAAAUAGAGAAUUAAAGACAAUAAUUAUGAAAAUUAAUAGGUCAGAUACCGCUCUAUCAAAACUACUCGCUAUGUACUACAAACCUAGCAUCAAGGUGAAGACAUAAACACCAGUCAACUGCUUGCAAGUAACUUACUAACCUAUGACUGUGUAUUUGACAACAUUAUGCUCAUAUUAUAAGAUCGCAGAAGUAGUGCAUGUAACAUCUGGACUGCUUGAUUGAGGGAAAAGGAACUAAAGAUCAUGGAAUGUCAGGGCCGUUAAUUAUGUGAAGUGCAUUGUUGUAUCUCUAUUAUAGUAAACGUCAUCUCUAUCUGCUCCCUCACUUUUGGUAAUAUAGUUUAUAUGAAUCAUUGGCACUUAUCAAACAGAGAGAGAGAAGAAAAAUUGGGGAAAUUAUGAGAAUGGAAAAAUACGAACCGCACGCGCUUUUGUUCUCUGGUGCCGUCCCAACCUGGCUUUUCGUCUUUCUUCACUUUCACCUUCAACUUCCUCAAAUUCCGCAACCAUUGAAGAACCUGAUGCAAACAAAAAACACCAUAGAAAUCAGCAUAAAGCAAGAAAGGACAUGCAUAGUUGCUCCUGUGAAGUCGAACCAAAUAAUUAAUUACCUCCAUCCAUUGAAAAGAGAUCAUCAAAGAUACCACUUGCAGAAGGGGACUUCUUCAUGCUACCUGAGGUCCUAGAAGAUGUCAUUUGGGGCCUAGGCCCUCCUCUGUUGUCUGUCUGUGCAUCAAAUAUUGGGUCCUGGAAAGUGCAUCAGUAAGCAACCAACAUAUCCGCUGGUGUUGAAAAAUUGCAUAUUUAUGACAUUAUGCUUCUCACCGGUUUUUUAACCCUUGACUUUGGUACACUGCUAGACCGAAAACCUGUGCUGAACAUGAAAUCCAGAUCAUCUCCACUUGAUUUACCAUGUCUGGUGGCUGAAGAUUCUACCCCGUCAUUACGAGAAGGAACUCUGGGAGCACUCUUUGGCACCGUAGCACUGGCAAAUAUCUCAAGAUCAUCUAUAUCUGCAAGUUCAUAACAUUAUUAUGGGAUACAAGUAAUUUCCUUCUAACUCAAGGAAGCAUAAGAACCUUUCUCACCCUUUGAAACUUGUGCUGGUUUUGGGGGUGCUUUCAGUUUUGUAGAACUAUUUGAUGAACCACCCUGUUUUGCACCUCCGGAAUUACUCAUCUUACUGAAUUGUUCCAGUCCUGAAAGAUAAUCUAAAGAAUCUGCAGGUCCUGAACUUGAAACUGAUUCUAAGACCACAAAGGGGUCAACCAUUGGGGAACUGAAGUUAGAUCGAGUCAAAUUAACAGUUGAUUGCUGAGUACGGCUUUCCUGUGUGUAACUUCUGAAUACAAAAUAAGCACCCCAAAUGAGAAACAUUGCAUCAAUUAGCCACACAAAUGACAUAUGCAGAAACUAGUAACCACAUCACGACAUAUCUAUAUAUAAAUUUUCAUAUAAUAAAUAUAACUCUGAUCACAUACACCCAUUUCUUAGAACAAAUCAAUGUACCCACACCCAUUCUAACAAGCAACAUUUUCAUUGUUCUUCCAAAAGUAGCUCACCAACAAUCAGAGAAAGUAAAUGCUGCACGCUGUUGUGACAAUUUGAAUUGACUAGCUAGUUUUAUAUUUCUAUACUAACACAUCUUUAUCGGUCUUUAACAGAAUUCAGAAUAAACUGGCACAUCUAUAUAAUCAAAAUUGAACUAUAAAACAAAGCUAAAAUGCUACAUCCUACACAUUACUGAUCAAACACACAGCAUUUUCCAUCAAACUAGCACAAACACAUUAGCAAAGCUACUUUACCCAUCAGGCAUUUGCUCAACCAUACAUACCCACUAUUGGAAGCACUGGUAACACCAAACCCGGGCAACAAAUCAUCAGAAUCAGUUGCAUUCCUCGCCGCAGUUCCGUACCUAUUCCCAUUUCCAUUGCCAUUGCUAUUCAUACUCUGCAAUCUCCUCCUUACUCCACCAAGAUCACCCAGCAGAUCAUUGCUGGGAGCAGCACUCUGUUUCGGAGCCGAAGCAAACGACCCGAAAAGGUCAUCAUCCUUCACAUUACUAUUCACCGACCCACCGGAGCUCCCAAACACAUCAAACCCGUCGUCAAACGACGACGUAUUGGCACUCGAGCCCGAAAACACGGAGUCCAAAUCAAAGUCGGAGCCUUUUGCGGGUUUAGAGACUCCGCCGCCGAGAAAGUCGUAGCCGCCGAAUCCGCCGGAGCCGGCGGCGUUUUGGGUGGAGCUGGAUUGGGAAAAGAAGCCGUUUUGGUCGUCGAGAAAAGAAGCGUAGGCGGAAUUGGAAUUGGAAUUGGAAUUGGAUUUUGAGGAAGAUGAAUACGACGUCGUUUGGGGGUUGGUGGUGGAACGGGAGGCGGCCAUCGGCGCCGAUUUGCCUUGGGGUUUGAGGCCGAACCUCUCGGUCAAAACGCCGAAGUCGUCCAUAUUGGGAAAUGGGGAGGAAUUGCCGGGAAUUGGAGGAAAAGAUGGGAGCUUGGAUUGGAUUGGAUUGAAGGGGAUUUGGAGGAAGAUGGGAAUCUGGGUGUCUGUGUAAAAUUGGAAGGUGGCGGAGCACAACGUUUGCCACGAAGAUGAAUCAAAUUCUCGGUCUUUUUUUGUUUUUAAGAAAAUGAGUAGGUGCUGUUUCUAAUUCUGUGUCGGUGGGAAAUUUCCAUCGAUAUUCUGUCGCAGAAUGGCAGUGGAGUAAUUUUAGGUGCAAGAAUAAACACAAGGAAAAAAAUAUAAAAAUUUGCCGAAUAAAAUGAUUUUAGGAGUGAUUUCAUAACAUAUCUGUUUAUUUAGGAUUAAAAAGGUCAUAAAAUAAAGCACGAAGCCGAGACAAGUGAAACAGAGAAGAACAAAUCGGUGUGACACAUACAUAACUCCCAUAAGUGGUUGAGUUGGUAAAAGCUUACACACAUGUUUGAAUAUCGCCGACUCUGAUUAGAGUCUACAUCUUAAUACAUUUUGUGUCAUGAGAAAGAAACGUUUUGACAAAACCUCUCGAUACAGAUUAGUAUUGGCCUAAAUUAACUUAGAGGUUACUGUGUUGAAAUGCUCGUCUUGUUAUCAAGUUGUUCAUGAAUCGAUUUCUGAUAAUGAGGUUGAUAAACUCAAAGAUAUAAUAAAUAAAAUGUCACAAGAUAAUAAAUAGUUUUUCUUAUUUAACGAUUAUGUUACAUGUCAUUGCCAUAUUUUUAGUAAAGCAAUCCAACCUCCAAUAAUGCAGUGAUAUAAGAAAAGAGCAAAAAAAGGAGAACUACAUAAGGACAACUUGGAAUUCCAUUGAUACAUCACUAUACACCUAGCAUGACAAUUGUUCCAGUCCACUCACAGCUUAGUGCAAACCUAGUCACAUGAAUCAUUUCAUUACAACGAUUAUUGAAUAGUGAUAUAAACUACAUGGUGGUUCCAGAGUUCCAUAUAAAUCCCAGAUUACUGUCAUUUUGAGGAAGCGGGGGAAGUGCUGGCUGUGCCGCAUGAUGCCAACUUUCGUCGUCAGGCACCCUUCUCUAGUCUCCGUUCAGAGAGAGUAUCAAUGGCUAUGAGUCUAUCGCAGUCUGUCUCGUCAUCACCAAUCGGAAUUUGGCUCCGUUGUGGCUUCUAGUUUCAUUAUCCGGCCGGUAAGAUGCUUCCACCAGUAAGUGCAAAUUACAGACUAGUUUGGUUGGUGAUUGUACUGACCAUGUCCAGGCCAUUUCAUCAAUUGUCAAGUGAACAGUUUUGGUCAAGUUUGAAGCAAACUUCUGUAGAUACUAGUUUGGUUUGGUACUAUAUUGAUCUCAAAUUGAAGAUAUAUAUGCACACAACUUCACAAUUCUUAGAAAAUUGAAUGAAACCAGAUUGAUUGUGGUUUAUAUAUAUGAACUUGAUCCGAUUCAAUUUUAUUCAAUAAAAUCAUGUCAAACUUGAACAUUCCGUCGAUUAUAGAGAAUCAACCCUAACCAAGAUCAAAACACCAAACCGAGGACAAAACAACAAGCACAAAAGUUACAGAAGGCAUCAACCCUAAACAAUGAACUCGUAUCUUCUUGACAACGGAAAUGGAAAGCUCCUUCCUUCAGUCAAAGCCUCAAAGGCCGUCAUCUCCCACUUUAUAGUUUAAACCACGCCAAAUCCCAGCCAAAAACAAUGUUCGAGCAUAUGUCAAUAAACAAAUCCUAAACAAUGUUCCAGUCCUCAAGUUGUCACACUCAGUUUCCUAUACAAAGUAAACGACUUUUCCUAGGAAGAACAAGAACAGAGAGCUAAUUUAAUCCACGACUUGUAAAAUACUAAUCUCAUUUGAAGUGUCAAACACUAGUUUAUUGAACUCCACAUGCCAGAAACAAUAGUUUAUGACUUUGAUUCUUGUUCGUAAGUGGGAACCGGAACCUUUUUUGCAGUUGCUUAACCACUAAACUUGAUUAACAAAACACAGCUUACCGAAAUAAGAAAAUCCUAAACAAAAACGUGCACGUUUGAUUCUUGACCGAUCUAGCAGCCAAGGUUGAACCUUUUCACUGCCCAAACUCAAACUCUAUAAUCCCUCAUCCAAAAUUGUCCAACACCAUUUUCACACAAACAAGCACAUCAACCAAGAUGUGCAGCACCAAACCCUUCACAUUCUCCUCCUCCCUCAUCUUCCUCAUCUCCAUCACACUCAACACAGUUGCAGCUGCUUCAUCAUCAUGCCCCAUAGAUCUGAGCUACGUCACCACCUUCCCAUGGGACACCUCCCUCUGCCUCGCCCCAAACGGCACACACUGCUGCCAAACCCUUCUCAGCCUCUUCGGCAUCGGCCUCUCCCAACACCUCAAGCAAACCUCCACCUUCCAGCUCCCCAACUCCACCGUCUCCGCCGCCUGCCUCUCCGACUUCCAAUCCAACCUCUCCUCCCUCUCCCUCAACUCCACCCUCGUCCCCCUCUGCUUCCAAAACGCCAACCAGUUCGUCGCCAACUCCGCCAGCUGCGCCGGCAUCCUCACCGUCGACGACUGGACCGACAAAGUGGGACCCAUCAGCGCUAUAGACACGUCAUGUAAAGGAGAUCUCCAGGGACUCACCAGGUGUAGCUCUUGCUUAGAUGCAGGCAUGGAUGUGAACAACCAGCUCAGCGGGCUGGGUCCCAACAACACCAAGUGCUUCUAUUUCGCCGUGCUUUACGCUGCGGGGGUAGUGAAUGAGUUGGGCCCGGAGGAUCCGAGAACCGCGGCGUGUAUUCUGGGACUGCCGCUGUCCAGCUCAGCUAACAAGAGUGGGAGUAGUAGUCAGGUGAGCAAGAAGACUCUGCUGAAAUGGGUAUUUGGGGUCUUGGGGGGUAUUGUUGGGAUUUUACUUUCUGUUGGGGUUAUAGUCAUGUACAGGAGGCAUGAGAUGAAAGGGAGGCAGAAUGCUAGGCAUGAAGAGUAUGUGAGUAGCUUUAGGCUUAGUUUGUUGCCUAAUUCUGGUGCAAAGUGGUUUGGGAUAUCAGAGCUUGAGAAGGCAACUGAUGGGUUUGCUCAGAAGAACAUGCUAGGCCAAGGAGGGUAUGGGGUUGUGUACAAGGGCACAUUAGCUGAUGGGACUCUUGUUGCUGUGAAGCAGAUUCUUGAUAUGGAGGCUUUGGAUUCGAAAGGGGAUGAGGAGUUUUCAAAUGAGGUGGAGAUCAUAGGGAAGAUUCGACAUAGGAAUUUGCUGUCGCUUAGAGGGUGUUGUGUUACUAGUGAUGAUUUUAAAGGGAAAAGGAGGUUCUUGGUUUAUGAUUUUAUGACGAAUGGGAAUUUGAGUGACCAUUUGGGUAGCAGUAAGAGGAGAUUGAGUUGGCCUCAGAGAAAGAGUAUCAUACUUGAUGUUGCAAAAGGGCUUGCUUACUUGCACAAUGGGAUCAAGCCUGCUAUUUAUCACAGGGAUAUAAAGGGGACUAACAUACUCUUGGACACGGAAAUGAAGGCCAAAGUUGCAGACUUCGGUUUGGCCAAGCAAAGUUUAGCAGGGCAGACUCACUUGACAACAAGAGUGGCAGGCACUUACGGUUAUUUGGCACCAGAGUAUGCUCUCUAUGGACAGCUUACGGAGAAGAGCGACGUUUACAGCUUCGGCAUUGUGGUUCUUGAGAUCAUGAGUGGGAGGAAAGUGCUGGACACAUCGAAUUCCAGCACGAAUUUGAAUUCAGUUGUUUUGAUCACGGAUUGGGCGUGGAUGCAUACGAAAGCGGGGAGUGUGGAGGAGGUUUUUGAUGAGACAUUGAGGGAGGAAGGGCCAAAGAGUGUCAUGGAGAGGUUUGUGAAUGUUGGGAUUCUGUGUGCUCAUGUUAUGGUGGCUUUUAGGCCUACUAUUUCAGAAGCACUGAGGAUGUUGGAGGGUGAUAUUGAUAUUCCUAAGUUACCAGAUAGGCCAAUGCCACUUGGCACUGAGUCUUAUAGAUCUUCUUUUGGGUAUUCUAGCAUUCAGGAAAUUGAUAGAUCAAGACCCAGAUUUAGUUCUAGCAUUGUAACUCCCAAGUCCUCAACAUAGAUUGAAGAUGUGAACUAACUAGGACACUUGGUAGUUUGGUACGUGUGUUUGUACCAAACUUCUUAGCUGAGAGAUUCUUUUGUACAUUGGUGACUAAAAAAACAACUAUGAUGAAAUUACCCUUCUUUUCUUUUUUUGCUAGUCAAAGUCUCCAUCUUUCUUUGAUUUCUACCAACCCUUUUAGUCAAACUGCUCAAAUGUUGGCGGUUCAUGUUCCCACUCUUGCUGUUGCACGUGUGAUUUUGUCGAACGACACCAAGAAUAACGUCGUUAAUAAGGUAAGGUACAUAAAUAUAGCCCGGGCCCUGCAUGAUCAGUCUUUUGAGAAGCAAAAGGACCCGGAAAGUGGAGAGACACAGCUGCACCUUGCGUCGUGUUCUCCGCCGAAGACGUCGCCGUCUACAGUACGUUUGCUUUGUCACUCUAUUGUCCUUGCUUUCUAGAUUUGUAUGUAUUUAGGAACUUAUAAUUGGGUGGGUUAUUGAGAAAUGGUUACCAAGGAAUUGAUCGAAUUGCUCAUUGUUCAUAAACUAAAGAAGGAUCACCAGCUAAUUUCAAGAAUGAAACUUUAAACAAGGAUCAUUAACUUUAUGUUUGUGCAUAUACAUAUCUCCUUUCAUUCAUUUUAGUGUUCAAUAGAAUCAAUACUAAAAAUUGCGUUAAUCAUCGCUGCUACGGCUCUGGAGUAUUUGCGUUUUGUUGUUGAUACAGCCAUCGACCAAAGUCAGAUCAGAAUUUCAUUUGGAAGAGUAGAAGAUGUAUAGUGAGAUCCAGGAUCAAAUGGGGUAGUGUACUGAGUACAGUGCAGGCUUACCAUGGUUGAUCGAGUCUGAGGCAAAGAUAAUGCUGUAGCAGAUCAUUCAUGUGAGUGCUUGUGAUCCACGAUGAGGGACCAAAGGAUGGUGACUAUAGAUCAAAUUUAGCAUCAUUAUUAUGAGGAAGUAUGCAAGGGAGGGCUUUAAAACAAAGGAUUGAUGCUGGUUGUAAUCCUGAUAUAGUGACAUAGGGCAUCAAGGUUAAUUGUCUUUGCAAGGGGGGGAGGGUGGAGUGGAAGCUAGUGGUUGCAUUGCCUGCAUCUUUAAUUUAUAGCAUUUUGUUGCAUACAUAUGGCCAUACGGGAUCUAAAUAGGAUGGAAGAUGUUGAUUGGUUCUUUCAAUCAAAAGGAGUGGAAUCAAGUUGACCUGUAUUAUGCCUUGACUGGCGCUUUCCGUUCAAGAAUUUAUAUACAGGGUCUUAGGGGAUAUGAAUUACAAAGGUGUUGCACCCAAUUCAAAGACCUGCAACUCCAAUAUCUUCUUCACUAGCUUGCUCGACUGUGGAGAAACUAAUAAAGCAUUAACUUAUUCAUUUGCUAACAAAGUGAUCAGAGUUUGUGAGCUGAUCGAGAUAUAUACAUAGGCAAUGAUGCAAGAGAUAUUCUGUGAGAUAGAUGAAGUAAAGAUGGGUCAUAAUUACAGUGUGAAAGCUAACAGUCUGUCAUGAGCUUAAGAAGCGCCUUCUCUCACUGGCAGAGAUGAUAGAGACGGUUGGGAGGUUAAUAUGGGUGUAGUUGAUGUAGUACGAUGUUCUAGAGCAUGAAGAUAAUAUUUGGCUCCAAUAUGGUGUUUAUGGAAGGAAAUCCCUUAAGGCAAAGCAAGAUCACCAUGCAGAUUAUCCUAUUGGUUUGUGAAGUUGUUAAUCAGGUGUCAUGCUCUAUACUAAUGAAAAUUGCAGCCCCAAUACUUUAGAAUCUACAUUGUAGGUGUACUUGAUCAUAUAAACAUUCAUCAUACUUUAAAACUAGUUAUCUAAAGUACCCCAAAUUAUAAUUUCAGAGGUACAUUGAAGCAUGAUAGCAGAAGAAAACCACUGCAAGUUUUUGUAGAAAUAUUUUAUUAUGAUAUAUUCUUUGCAGUUUGCAAUCCGCAUACAUGUUUGUUGAGCAUAAUGGGAACUAGAAUUGCCUAGAAGAAAGAGAACAAAGCUGAUAAAACCCUCCAUAGGAUGAUGCAUUGAUGCCUAAACACCACAUUCGUUUUUAUUGGUAUUUUUUAUUUGCUAUUUUCUUCCUAUUUUCUCUAUUUUUGUCUUGUGGUGUGAGCAAGAUGCUUUAUUGAGUUAUUCAUGGUUUGCCUCUAUCCAUGAUUUGUUUCUUCUGAGACAAAGUCUUGGUAGCUCUAAGAACAAUUGUGGGGGGAAAUUAAUUAAUGUUCAAUCAAUCUCCAACUUUGAAUCAUGUUGGGAGACUGACUAAUUGACUAGUAGCUGGUGAGAAGAUGCCAAGAUGAUUGAUUAAUUAGUGCAAGAAGCAAGCCUAUUUAGGAGAUUGUUUUUUUUUUUUUAACUGACGACUUUGGUGACCACAAAUAGCUUUAAUAUGAGCUUCAAGUAUUGUUUUAAUAUUAAGUCGGUGUUAGAAAGACUUGACUGAUGUUUUAGUGGAUGGAAAGUGUAGGGAUAAGCGCUUACAUAAAAAAAGAGCAAUCUCAUGAAUUUUGAGACAGAUUCAACUGAUGCAUGUGCAGCAGAAAAGAUAUAUCUUGGUUUAAGGAUAUCAUUUCCCUGAAACUGCAAUUGACCUCUGAUAUGCUUCCCUGCAAGUUCAAUCUCUUGCUAGCUGCUUCCUGAUCAAGCAAUAGAUCUCUCUUCAAAUUACUACUUGUUUCUACCUUGCAUGCUAGUCCUUGCUGAACUCCCAAGAGGUAAUAAAUACUGACUUGGAGAUUCCCUUAGAUCAGAGUCCCAUUGUGUGGUACUGCCUCUUUCCUAUAUUGUAUAUCUGUGUACAACCAAUAAUUGAAUAGGAGCACUAACUGCAUUCUUCUAUAUGAAUAUGGAUUAGCAGGUUACUAAUAUGGCUUCUUCUGCUUCUGCUGCUGAAAUUUACCUCCCUCGAGACAAGUAUGAUGUCUUUCUUAGUUUUAGAGGUCUAGACACGCGCCAGAAAUUUACCAGCCAUCUUUAUGAGGCUUUAAAGCGGAAGAAAAUUGAUACCUACAUGGAUAAUAGACUUGAAAGAGGAGAUGAAAUUGAGCAUGCCCUGGUGGAAGCAAUCGAGCAAUCAAAGAUUUCAAUAAUUGUUUUUUCAGAAAACUAUGCCUCUUCUAGCUGGUGCUUGGAUGAGCUUGUGCAUAUACUGAAAUGCAGGCAAAGAUAUGGACAGAUUGUUAUACCUGUAUUUUAUGAAAUAGAUCCAUCACAUGUACGGAAACAGCAGGGAAGUUAUGCAAGUGCAUUAGUAGCUCAUGAAGAACGUUUCGUGAACAACAAGGAGAAAGUGCUCAGUUGGAGGAAAGUUUUGUCAUCUGUAGCUAAUCUAUCUGGGUUUGAUUCAAAAAAUACCAGGUAUUUAACUUUUUAAUUUCAUUAUUUUAUUAGCUUCUACUUUUGGUAAAUUUGAUCUACAGAAGACUAAUGAUAAUUACCCCAUACUGAUUAAGUACUUAUUUCUGUUCUCCAUAUAUGCUAGGCCCGAGUCUGCAUUAGUUGAGACAAUUGUCAAAGAGGUUUUGAAGAGAUUGAAUUGUAACUCGUCAACUAAUUCGAGAGGUCUCUUUGGGAUUGAAAGUCAGAUUCAACAAAUUAAAUUGUUAUUAUCCAUUCAUGCACAAGAUGUUCCGAUACGCAAUAUAGGCAUUUGGGGAAUGGGUGGUAUAGGAAAGACCACCCUUGCUAAUGAGGUAUUUCUCCGACUCUCUUCUGAAUUCGAUUCUUGUUCAUUUCUUGCAAAUGUUAGAGAAGAGUCAGAGAAAUAUGGCAUACAUCAUGUGCGAAAUAAACUUCUCGGUGAGUUAUUAGAGGAGGAAAGCCAAAAUAUUGGCUCUCUAUCUAUAGGGUCACAUCUUUUACGCAGGUUGUCCCGUACGAAGGUCCUUGUUGUUCUAGAUGAUGUGAACGAUUCAAGCCAAAUAGAAGCUUUACUUGGAGAUCAAGUUGUGUUUGCAUGGGGAAGUAGAAUCAUUAUAACCUCUAGAGAUAAGCGACCACUGAUAGAUAGAGUGGAUGAUGAACAUAUAUACCCGAUGAAGGGGUUGGAGAUUGAUGACGCUCUUCAGCUUUUUCAUUUGAAAGCUUCCAAAGAUGACCUUUCCAAAACAGAUUGUUUGGACUUGUCAGUAAGAGCUGUAGAGAUUGCUAAAGGUAUACCAUUAUUUCUUACAGUUUUGAGCUCCUCAUUUGGUGAUUGCAAAACUAGAGAAGAUUGGGAAGAUGAAUUGAACAGGUGGCAAAACUUUCCGAACAAAAAAAUUGAGGAUAGGUUGAGACCAAGCUAUAAUGGAUUACAAGAGGAUGAGAAGGGAAUAUUUCUUGAUAUUGCAUGUUUCUUUAAAGGAGAAAAGAGAGGGAAGUCAGAAAGAAUAUUACAAAUGCACGGGUUCUCUGCACGGAGGGGAAUUCAAAUUCUCAUCAAUAAGUCUCUUAUAUCAAUUUCCAUGGAUAAUCACCUAGAGAUGCAUGAUUUGCUGCAAGAAAUGGGUCGGUCCAUUGUUCGUGAACAAUGCACUCAUAACUGUGGGAAGCGCAGUAGGUUAUGGAAUGCCAAGGAUGUCUAUCAAGUAUUGAAAAAUAAGAUGGUAUGUGUUCAAUUAAUUCAUUGUCCUUUUUUCUUUUUCUUUUUUCGAAUAGCUCAUUCAUUACAUUCUAAAAAAGAAAAGGCUUAGGCCUUAAACCCCAAUAGACAAGAGUUUGAUUAACCUACAUUUUAUAAAACAACAAACUGAAACCUAGAAACCCAAAAACAACCAAAUUAACUCUAGCUAGAUCUUAAAGCACUGCAUGUAGAGAAGAAAAAAUUGCAAUCUCUGAACUUAGAAAAACAAAAGUCCAGGAACCACUCAGUUACCUCCAGAACCAAAAAAAAAAAAACUCAGUUACCUAUGUGCAUAUAUAAGACUCAUUUCUUCUAACAAAGUCUCCAAAUAUAUGAUACUAUUUAUCAUGCAUCAAUCUCAAAGUUUCAAACUUUUGGAUUUCAAUAGAGAACAAUAAUUGUGGUUAAAUUGUACUGAUCAUGUAGAUCUUAGGGUGAUGAUAUGCUAAAAUGUUUUAGACCUGAUUUUGUGGGAUUGUUUGGUUCUAUAUUUUUUUCAUUUAAUCAUCACAUUUGCAAUCAAAUUUAAAUUUAUUAACCAUUAUGACUGUUUGACAUGAAGUAAUCAAAGUAGGAUUUUAUGAAGUGAUAAAAUGUCUUACUAAUUAUUCCAAUUAAUCCACAAUGGAUAAUCUUUUGGACAACAUGACAUAUACAGUAUAUCUAUAUGUAAAAAUUAUAAACCAGUAAAAAAAAAAGUUACUUGUACGAAUCUAUUUUUGAUAUAUUUUACUUAUGUUGUAUGCUCAUUGAACUUUAUUGUUGAUUCUUAGGGAACUACAAAACUUGAAGCCAUAUGUUCAGACAUAUCUACCAUUGAUCAGGAGUUGCAACUGAGUCCUAAGUCCUUCAAAAAUAUGCACAAUCUAAGGUUGCUACGAUUUUAUGCACAGCCAAAUGUGGACACCAAAAUGCACCUUCCUGAAGGUCUCGACUUUUUACCUGACUACCUUAGAUAUCUAUACUGGGAGAGCUACCCUGCUAAAUCUUUGCCAUCAGAAUUUUCUCCACACAAUCUAGUUGAGCUUCAUCUGCCCAAUGGCAAAGUUAAGAAGCUUUGGAAUAAUAAUGGCCAGGUAACAUCAGUUUUCCUUCUUGAUUAUUAAAGCAGUUAAUGUAGUCAGCGUUUUGGAGCCAAGUUAUUAAUAUAUGUUUUACUUAAUAUGUUGCAGAGUUUGGGGAAUUUAAAGAGGUUGAAUCUUAAAGGGUGCAAACACCUGAUUGAAGUUCCGGAUUUCUCUCAGUGUCCAAAUAUUGAAACAUUAAUUCUCAGCGGUUGUACAGGUUUGGUUCAACUGUAUGUUAAAAAGUUUGAUAAGGUUACUACUCUAAAACUUUCAGGCUGCUCGAGUCUUAAAUUUUAUCCGGAGAUGCCAUGCAAUGUGCAAAACUUAGAUUUGUCUUGGUCUAAGCUGACUGAAGUUCCCGAUCUCUCUCGGUGUCCAAAUAUUAAGAAGUUAUAUCUGAAUCAUUGUGCGGAGUUGGUUCGACUUCCUGAUGGAUAUCUUAAACAUCUUGCCAAGCUUACUACUCUUAAUAUGGCAGACUGUUUAAGUCUUAAAGCUUCUCCUGAGGUACCAAGCAGUUUACAAACCCUAGAUUUGUCUAGGUGCUUUCAACUGAGUGAAGUUCCUGAUCUCUCUCAGUGUCCAAAUAUUAAGAAAAUAGAUCUCUGUUGGUGCACAAAUUUGGUUGAACUCCCAAUAUUAAAAGAUUUUGAAAAGCUUAUUUGUUUGGAACUAGCAGGGUGCUCUGGUCUUAAAGCUGCUCCUGAGUUACCCCGCAAUUUACGACAAUUGGAUUUGUCUUCUUGCUCUCAAAUGAUUGAAGUUCCUGAUCUCUCCGAGUGUGCAAAUAUUGAUGAAAUAGAUUUCAGUCGGUGUUCAAGUUUGGCUCAACUCCCUAAGUCAACAUUUAAAUAUCUUGAUAAGGUUUCUCGUCUGCAGCUGGCAAGGUGCUUGAGUCUUAAAGUUUGUCCCGAGUUACCGCCCAAUAUACGAGAUUUGAAUUUGUCUAAUUGCUGUCAACUGACUGAACUUCCCGAUCUCUCUGGCUGUCCAAAUAUUGAGACUCUAGAUCUCUGUCAUUGUACAAGAUUGGUGCACAUCCCUGAUUCAUAUGUUGGAAAUCUUAAUAAGCUUACUACUAUGUAUCUGGAAGAUUGCUCGAGUCUUAAAGUCUUCCCGAAAAUACCACAAAAUGUAAAGAAUUUGCAUGCGCCUUCUUGCUCUCAGCUGACUGAAUUUCCUGAUAUCAGUGGGUGUCCUAACAUUGAGAGGAUAGAUCUCAGUGACUGUACAAGUUUGGUUCAUGUCCCUCCUUUUGUCAGAAAUCUUGAUUUCUUUCGGUAUCCAAAGAUUAAGAUAAAGCUUCUUGGUUGUACAAGUUUGGACCAACCCCCUUCAAUCAUUCGCAAAUUGUUUUGACAAGCUUGUACAAACUUGUUUGACGCUGUGAGCAAGGUAUGUACCUCUCUGUCUCUGUCUGUCUCUCUCUCUCUCUCUCUCUCUCUCUCUCUCUCUCACUUUCUUCUAAGACAAUAUUCAUAUUAUGACGUCUCACACACGGUACAGGUGGUGCGUGCAUCAAAGGAUUAAGUCAGUCAUUCACCCGUAUGUGAAAUACGCAUGCAUUUUAACAAUUCUGUCUGGGAGAACAUGAAUGAUCCAGUUCCUGCCCCCUGCACUGGGAGGUCUUAAGCGAUGCAAACAGAGGUGGCUCGUCAAGUGGUCUUGAGAAGGCCACUAAUGGGUUUGCUCAGAAGAACAUGAUAGGCCAAGGUGGGUAUGGGGUUGUGUACAAGGGCACACUUGCUGAUGGGACCCUUGUUGCUGUGAAGCAGAUUCUUGAUAUGGAGGCAUUGGAUUCGAAAGGGGACGAGAAGUUUUCGAAUGAGGUGGAGAUCAUAGGGAAGAUUCGGCAUAGGAAUUUGCUGUCGCUUAGAGGGUGUUGUGUUACUAGUGAUGAUUUUGAAGGGAAAAGGAGGUUCUUGGUUUAUGAUCUUAUGACAAAUGGGAAUUUGAGUGACCAUUUGAGUAGCAGUAAGAGGAGAUUGAGUUGGCCUCAGAGAAAGAGUAUCAUACUUGAUGUUGCAAAAGGGCUUGCUUACUUGCACAAUUGGAUCAAGCCUGCUAUUUAUCACAGGGACAUAAACGGGACUAACAUACUAUUGGAUUCAGAAAUGAAGGCCAAAGUUGCAGACUUUGGUUUAGCCAAGCAAAGUUUAGUGGGGCAGACUCACUUGACAACAAGAGUUGCUGGCACUUAUGGUUAUUUGGCGCCAGAGUAUGCUCUCUAUGGACAGCUUCCGGAGGAGCGAUGUUUACAGCUUCGGCAUUGUGAUUCUUGAGAUCAUGAGUGGGAGGAAAGUGUCGGACACAUCGAAUUCCAGCACGAAUUUGAAUUCGGUUGUGCUGAUCACGGAUUGGGCGUGGAUGCAUACGAAAGCGGGGGAGUGUCGAGGAGGUGUUUGAUGAGACAUUGAGGGAGGAAGGGCCAAAGAGUGUGAUGGAGAGGUUUGUGAAUGUUGGGAUUCUGUGUGCUCAUGUUAUGGUGGGUUUUUGGCCUACUAUUUCAGAAGCACCGAGGAUGUUGGAGGGUGAUAUUGAUAUUCCUAAGUUACCAGAUAGGCCAAUGCCACUUGGGACUGAGUUAUAGAUCUUCUUUUGGGUAUUCUAGCAUUCUGGAAAGUGAAAGAUCAAGACCCAGCUUUAGUUCUAGCAUUGUCACUCCAAGUCCCCAACAUAGAUUGAAGAUGUGAACUAACUAGGACACUUGGUUGUUUGGUAUAUGUGUUCGUAUCAUUUCAAUAUUCUUUGAUGAGAGAUUAUUUUGUACAUUGGUGACUAAAACAAGAAAUUGAUGAGAUUACCAUUCUUUUUGUGCUUGUCAAAGUCUUCAUCUUUCUUUUUUUGAUCUCUACCAGCCCUUGGUCAAACUGCUCAAGUUCAUAUUCCACUCUUGCUGUUGCACGUGUGAUUUUGUCGAACGACACCGAGAAUAACGUCGUUAAUGUAAGGUGCAUAAAUAUAUCUCUAUUAUUAUAAAACCAAACGUUCAGGAAAUUCACCAAGUUAUGUUUUGCUUAAACUACCUUUAAUGAAACAACAGACAAAUAAAAACAAGGAUUGUUAUAGUAAAAAACAAAAUAAAAAAUAAAACAAAUUAGAUAAAGAGAUAAACAACACAAAACUAUAUUAUAUAGUUAGGGUAAAUCAAAUAGGUGAUCGUGUUCCUGUGCAUUGGGUACUAUUAUAAAGCCAAGUGUUCAGGAAAUUCACUAAAUUAUGUUUUACCUAAACUACCUUUAAUGAAACAACAGACACAAAUAAAAACAAUGGUUGUUAUAGUAAAAAGCAUAAUAAAAAGAUAAACAAAACAAAACUGUAUUAUAUAGCUAGGGUAAAUCAAAUUGGUGAUCGUGUUCCCGUGCAUUGGGUAAAAGGCUAUUUUAGUGAAGAAGAGUUUGAGGAGAAAUUUUUCAGCGAGGACCACGUGACAGUACGACGUGAUCCUACAUUUUAAUCAAAUAUUGACACAUAGAUUUUAUUAAGAAAAAAAUACAUAAGUUAUUUUGUCAAAGACAAUUUUGGGUUUGUUGUUACUUUUUAAACCCUUAACCCUAAACUCUAAACCCUAGACUCUAAACUCUAAACCUUAGACCCAAAACCCUAACCCUUAAACCCUAAACCCUAAACUCUAACCCCAAACCCUAAACCCUAACCCCAAACCCUAAACCUUAGUCCAAACUCAACAAAGACCUAUGAAGGUCAUUUCACAAAAAAUAGAAAACCUUAAUUUAAAUUUUAGUUAUAAUAAAUCCACAUGUCAAUAUUUAAUUGGAAUGUAGGACCACGUCAUACUGCCACGUCGUCCUGUAGCAUCUAAAAAUUUCUCGAUUUUGAGUUACAGUGCGACGGUUAUUUCGGGAUUGAGAGCUAAAUUUGCUGCGGGGUUUUAUCCGAGUUUGGAUUUUCGGUUAUGGCUAUAAAUUAACUAUCGUUUUAUUGCUUUGGGGAUAUAGUGGCGACGAAAGAGGAGGGGGUGACACGUAUGGGGAGGGUCGACGGACACGUCACGGAUUUAACGGGUCACGGAAUAAGUGUUGGAGAAUAAAUUCCAACAUGGGAUUCUUUCUCUUUUCGUUGAUUGAUGGGAGAAUCAAAAUAACAUUAGAGCAUGUUCACCCGUUUGGUUAGAAUGAAUACAGUGACCUGGGUUACUCUGACUAGGUAGCAGUUUUCACCCGUUUGAAAUGUGAGAUUGCUGCCACGUGGCAGUGAUUGUUUAUUGAAUUAAAAAAAUGGUUUUUAAGUGUGAAUAAUGAUUUUAGUUGUAAAUAAAUAGUAAUUAAACAAUAUGACUUAAUGAAAUUUAAUUUUUUUAUUCCNNNNNNNNNNNNNNNNNNNNGAAAUGUGGUUGGGGAUAUCCACCGGAGAAAGACCCCGACAAAUUUGCUUGUGUCUUCGCUAUCGCCUUUUGUUUUGCUAGCCAAUAAUCUUUUCUAGGCCCUGGCGACAUAGUGCUUGGAUUCAUCUCCAUGAUACGCUCUUCCCUCUCUUGGAUUUGAAUUGCUCAUUCCGCAUAACCAUUUGGAGCCGCAUAUAUUCUCAUUGUUGUUGGUCUUGCAAUUGCCUUGCAUAUGCUUCAUCUCGUUUUUCCCUCGCUGACAAGAUUGAUGCUUGGCUGUUUGUAAGCGUCACGACAGCAGAUGCAACAUGUGAUUCUUCUUUGGUUGCCUUCCCUUUUCGUUGUGCUUCCUUUGCAGCCUUUCUUCCUAUAGGUCACGCAUUCGGGUUGGGAACAACUUCAUCAACAUCUUUUUUUUAAGUUGAUAGGAGAAACAUCACAACUUGGUUGGGUAGACAUAUCUUCAUUGCCUCCCAUUGAUGUUGCCGCACUCGUCUCGACCGGAGGUGGAAUGUCACGAAAUGCUUGAAAACCUUGAACAACUUCAUAGCAAGCAAAACUUGAGAAAUCUUUUUGUCUCUUGAUUGAUUUCCCUUUGGACAUCGCUUGUUUCCAAAUCUCUUGUGCUUUCUUAUACUACAAAUUUAAAAACUACAAUUAAUGGGAUACAUGAAAUAGUAACUAAUUUAUCAAAAUAUCAUAAUAAUUAUGUAAACACGAAAUUAGUAACUAAUUAUUCAUACCUCAUCAAGUGGACUUGUACCACUCUUUACCCAAUUCUUAGCUUGUCGUAAUGCACAAUGCCAUUGAAACAAUUCGGGUUUCAGAAUUCUUCACCUCCCUAUAAAUGCAGAUGCACUUCGAUCGGUAGCAUCUGGUAAAUUUUCGAAUUAGUGUUUGCGGACAUUAUCCCAUAGCUCGGCUUUCUUUUGAUCUUUACCCUUUCCCGAAUCUUGGCUAAUAAACCUCCAUGACUUGCACAAUUGGAGGUCUUCCUCUGGACUCCAUUUGGGCAAAGUUGUGUUAAUUCCAACCAUGGUUGAAACAAAGGAAAAACCUAGAAGAUGAAAUCUAUGGAAUUUAAAAACUAAGAAAUUUUGAUGUGUGAGAGAAAUUGGUGUGGAAUGUGUAAAAUUUUGAUGGGUAUUUAUAGGGGAUUAUACAAAAAAUUUAAUAUUUUUGACUUUUUUUUCCUGCCCGUUGAAAGGGUUAAUUUUUUUCUUACCAUUAAUUUUUUGUUCCAAAAAAUUCCAAACGGUCGAAUUUUGUUUAAAAAAAAUUUAGUUGCAACGGUCAUCAAUUAUGGACCAUAAGAUCUGUCAAAACAUCUCAAACCAAUGGUCAAGAUCUGUGGACCGUUGCAUUUGAAACCUUUCUAGAUGGCCUCCAGUGUGCGACGCGUGGCGUGGUCCCCUUCUCUCUGUUGCGCCCACAAGUCGUCAUCACACGCACGUCGGUCGAUCGUUGCAGUUGGUUCGUGUGCGAAACACAGCUUCCAGGCUCAUGGGUCGGGGGAUGCUCAUUGCUGACGCAAGCCACGAGUUUGGGUCUAGGCUGAGAUGGAUCAAACUCACCUGGGUCACUCUUCUCCUCUCACCUGGGUUGAAUAUCUCCCCAACAAGCCACAAGCUUGGGUCUAGGCUGAGGUGGAUCAAACUUGCCUUGGUCACUCUUCUCCUCUCACCUGGGUUGAAUAUCUCCCCAACAAAGUGACUUGUGCUAGAAAAUGAGAUAACCCAUUUUAUGAGUGGAUUGAUGUUUUUUGGGUUUGGGUUAGAUUGCCUAUGUGGCUUCUAACCGGGGUUGAAUUUUUAUGGAUGGGUGUAGGGGUGGACUUUUAGGCACCGAAAAAACCGAAACCGGUUAAAACCGCACCGAACCGACACCGAGUAACCGAAACCGAAUAGAACCGAGACAAUCGGUUUCAGAAACCACACAAACCGAGAAAUGCGGUGUCGGUUUGCGGUUCCAUGCAUCCUAAAAACCGAUUAAACCGAACUGAACCGACAUAUAUUCAUUCUCCAUAUAUUAAUUAUUAAUACUUAAUUCUACAUUACGUGUUAUAUUCUUAUCGGUUAUGGGUUGUAAAUAGUAGGCUUUCACACACAUGAUUAUGUCUUUA
Molecule: long non-coding RNA, 25251 nt
Filed under: Fragaria vesca (wild strawberry)
Lineage: Eukaryota; Viridiplantae; Streptophyta; Magnoliopsida; Rosales; Rosaceae
Description: long non-coding RNA (FVES_LNC000807)
Source: RNAcentral